This 736-nucleotide long non-coding RNA is filed under the name Homo sapiens (human). RNAcentral describes it as "long intergenic non-protein coding RNA 1359". Lineage: Eukaryota; Metazoa; Chordata; Mammalia; Primates; Hominidae. The record is from RNAcentral.
AGGCUCCAAAAGCUUGUUACUUGCUUGUAGUCAAACAGAAGGCAGAGCUGCGAAUCAAAUCCAGGUUUGUCUCGACAUGCCACUAGCUCAUACUUCCCUUGGAUCAGCCACUAAAUGGCUUUCACUCCAGUGAGCAGCGACCAGCACUCCUGGGGACAUCAGGGCACUCACGCUCCUUAACACUGGACAGGAGACCUGCGCAGUCAUUCUAGCACCAGAAUUAUGGAACAUUUAUCAACAGCCUAAAAUAAAGACAACACGAGGAGAAUUUGGUUGCUUAUAUAGAUUCAAGGUACAAUCCUGCUGGAUUCUGGAAGAAAUAUCACAGUGUGCAUGCACAGAAGUACGACCAUGUGAAGAGGUAGCAAGAGAGCAGCAAUCUACAAGCCAAGGAAAGAGGCCACAGAGGAAACCAACCCUGCCAGCAUCUUGAUCUUGGACUUCCAGCUUCCAGAACUAACCAGGGACCCCACUCCCAUGCCGACAGUAUGGGCUGCUGUCUUCAGGACCAUUGCAAGUGUCCUUCACGGUUCGGUUCACAUUUCACAAGCCCCAUGAAGUCUAUCUGGAUUUUCGAUGGAUGUCUUGCCUUUUCCUCUACACACUACAGGAAGAGUGGCCACCCCUGCCAAGGGCCUAGUAUAGUACCCUAUACAUGUAGCUGAUCAGUUGAUUGUUACUGAUCAUAUGUAUCCUGCAUCAUGUUAUAAAAAAUUAACACAGUGCUUGGCACAUA